Molecule: ribosomal RNA, 253 nt
Filed under: uncultured prokaryote
Description: partial 16S ribosomal RNA
Rfam family: Bacterial small subunit ribosomal RNA
Source: RNAcentral
ACAGAGGGUGCAAACGUUGUUCGGAAUUACUGGGCGUAAAGCGCGUGUAGGCUGCCUUGCAAGUCGGGUGUGAAAGCCCUGGGCUCAACCUAGGAAGUGCACUCGAAACUGCAAGGCUGGAGUCCUGGAGAGGAAGGCGGAAUUCUCGGUGUAGAGGUGAAAUUCGUAGAUAUCAAGCGGAACACCGGUGGCGAAGGCGGCCUUCUGGACAGUGACUGACGCUGAGAUGCGAAAGCGUGGGGAGCAAACAGGA